CUCUCCCUAAGGGCGAUAGAAAGCUCUUCUGCAGUUCUUCUCAGAGAUUGGAGUUCGCUGGAAUCCCGAGAGGAAGCGAGCUGAGCCCUGCCAGCCAGCUGCCCUUGAAGGUGGGCAACCUCGUCGGUCGCCAUCCGGAGCCUCCCCUUGUAUUCGUCCACCUGCUUGCGCCAGCCAGCCCGGUACGCAUCGUAGCUCGCCUCGACAUCCU
RNAcentral lists this long non-coding RNA (211 nucleotides) under Elaeis guineensis (African oil palm). Its description in RNAcentral is "long non-coding RNA (EGUI_LNC081718)". The record is from RNAcentral. Lineage: Eukaryota; Viridiplantae; Streptophyta; Magnoliopsida; Arecales; Arecaceae.